RNAcentral lists this unclassified non-coding RNA (244 nucleotides) under plant metagenome. Its description in RNAcentral is "partial contains small subunit ribosomal RNA, internal transcribed spacer 1, and 5.8S ribosomal RNA". The record is from RNAcentral.
GCUCCGUUGGCGAACCAGCGGAGGGAUCAUUACCGAGUUUACAACUCCCAAACCCAAUGUGAACCAUACCAAACUGUUGCCUCGGCGGGGUCACGCCCCGGGUGCGUCGCAGCCCCGGAACCAGGCGCCCGCCGGAGGGACCAACCAAACUCUUUCUGUAGUCCCCUCGCGGACGUUAUUUUUACAGCUCUGAGCAAAAAUUCAAAAUGAAUCAAAACUUUCAACAACGGAUCUCUUGGUUCUG